This 1179-nucleotide long non-coding RNA is filed under the name Marmota monax (woodchuck). Lineage: Eukaryota; Metazoa; Chordata; Mammalia; Rodentia; Sciuridae. The record is from RNAcentral.
UGCUUAUAGAAAAUGUUCUUAUUAUAAUCCUAUAAUAAGGUACAGAAUUUCACCCCUUGAUUAAAAGUAAGUAUACCUUGAUACCUUAAUAGAAGAGGAAAGCAGACACUUCUGUUUCUUGGACCUGAAUUUAAUUUUAAAAAAAUUUUUUUGAAAAGUCAAUUUUUUGAAAAGCUCUCACAAGCCACAAAUAGCAAUGAACUUCUCAUUUUUAACAACUAUGUGUCAGAUCCUAUGAGCUCCUUUUAAAACAUUUUUUUUUCAUACAAUUCACAUUGCAACCCAAUGAGGUAGGAUGUCAUCUUUUUUAUAGAUGAGAAGGGUGACCUUUGAGAGAGGAAGCACAUAGCCUUUAAGUAAUAGAAUCUGGAGUUCAGAUUUUCUAGAAAGGGUAGGGUGUUGGCUGUGGCUUUAAUUACAAAGAACCUAAAAUAGGUUCCCUUUAAUAUGGAACAUUUUGAAGUAAAAUAUAAAUCUAGUAUUGUGCAAACUACAACUUUUAAUUGGCUCAUAUAUCUGGAAGACUUAGGAAUAUCUCCUUUCAAAGGAAUCCAGUAUUUGUGUCAGCAUUAUUUAGCAUCUUUCCUUCAAAGGUUUAUAACCUCUUAGUGUCCAUUGUUAAGGAGUCAGUUAAGUAAAUUGUGGCAUAUUAAUAUAAUGUGAGAUACCUUAUACCCAGUAAAAAGAAUAUCUACCUAGAUAUGUUUACAUGAAAAAAAAUUACCAUUUAGAGAAGAAUGCACUUGUAAUACAUAGUUUUUCUACAAGUUGCAUUUAUUUUUGAAUUUUUGAAUGAUAUAGCUUAUAUAUAGCGGUACUUACAGAUCUGAAGUAUAUAGCAGUAUUUAUUAUGAAAUAAUAUAACCCAAUUUUUUUAAGAAUAGUUGCCUCUAGGAAAUCAAAUAAGUGUGACAGAAACUUUCACUUUUUGCAUUAUUUUGAAUUUUUGGCAAUGAUAAUCUAUUUCUUCUAUAGAUAAAUAAGGGGAUCAGAUAUCAUAAAAGAUAUAGGGAAGAUCAGUGGAGUGGACAUAAAAGAAUGGGAGGGAGAAAGAGAAAUGGGAAGAUAAAUGAAUUUAACAAAUUAUGUUAUAUUCAUAUGUAAAAAUAACAGGGAAUUUCACUUUUACAUGUAUGUAGAAGAAAGGAAGUUUAAUAGAGUAGAGGAGGGAGACUGGAG